AGUCUUUGGCUUUAAGGAUUAUAGGUGAGGCCUGCCCAGUGGUUGUAUCUAAAUUUAAAUAAUAAAAUAAGUUGUUUAAUUAAAGACAAUUAAAUGGCCGCGGUAACUCUGACUGUGAUAAUGUAGCGAAAUCAAUAGCCAAUUAAUUGUUGGCAAGUAUGAAUGGCGUAACGAGUGCCCUACUGUCUCAAGAUAAAAACCAAUGAAAUUGAAAUUGUAGUGAAGAUGCUACAAAAAAUUGUAAGACGAGAAGACCCCGUUGAGCUUUACUGGAGGCUUAAAUUGUUUUUAAAGUAAUAUGUAGAUUAGGUGGGAAUAUCUGAAAAUUCCACUUAUUAGUUCUAAUAAAACCAAUCAGUAGUUUAUUGGGGUGGUUUAAGUUGGACAGUUUGGUUGGGCGACCGCCUUCUAAAGAGAUUCGAAGGCGAACAAAAGGUUAAUAAUGUAAUAGUUUAAAGGGAAAGCUUGACAGUAAGGAGGAUUCCCAAGCUGACACAGGUUGAAUUAGGGAAAGUUCAAUAAUACUGUGGGUUAUAAUGACCCGUUAGUUAAGAGUGGGUUUGCUAACGAGCAACGAAUAAAAGUUACCACGGGGAUAACAGCGUAAUCUCGUUUGAGAGUUCAUAUUGAUGACGAUGUUUGCGACCUCGAUGUUGAAUUGUGAUAUCCUGGAGGUGCAGUAGUUUCCAAGGGUUGACUGUUCGUCCAU
Molecule: ribosomal RNA, 709 nt
Filed under: Clathria prolifera
Lineage: Eukaryota; Metazoa; Porifera; Demospongiae; Poecilosclerida; Microcionidae
Description: LSU rRNA
Rfam family: Bacterial large subunit ribosomal RNA
Source: RNAcentral